RNAcentral lists this ribosomal RNA (681 nucleotides) under Mazzaella rosea. RNAcentral's name for it is "eukaryotic LSU rRNA". The stretch from base 151 to 303 matches the Rfam family "5.8S ribosomal RNA". Lineage: Eukaryota; Rhodophyta; Florideophyceae; Gigartinales; Gigartinaceae. The record is from RNAcentral.
GUAGUGGGAUGACAGGCUGAAAGCGGCGAUUCCGCCGUUUUUAGCCAGUCUUUCUAUCAUGUUUCGCGCACAACUUUUUAACAAUACUUUUUUUUAACAACCCAAAACCAUUCUAUUAACAAAUAAACAACCAAAAACAAACAAACAAAAAACUCGUGACGGUGGAUGUCUAGGCUCCAGCAACGAUGAAGAACGCAGCAAAAUGCGAUACGUAGUGCGAAUUGCAGAAUCCGUGAAUCAUCGAAUCUUUGAACGCAAGUUGCGCUCGCGGGCAAUCCUGCGAGCAUGUCUGUUUGAGUGUCCGCACAAAUGAGACUUUUGCUUCUUUCCAAUACGAGGAAGGAGCUGCUGAUGGGUGUUCUGUCUAUUUGUGCUAACGCGCGGUGGUGCAGAAGUUUCCGUGCAACCCGAAAGGGGGAAGCGGUCACCUGAAGAAUAGCUUUGUAUGGGGUGUUGUUUUUGUCGAUUGCAGAGCGGUUGUGGAAGGUGCAACUGCAGGAUCUGACUAGAACGAUGCUUUCCCCACAGGAGUAGAAUACACGACUGUGAAAAGAGGGGAAUGGCAGAGUAUGGUUGAUUCCGGGCAAAAUGUCCUCUGUGUCGUAUCAGAAAGACUUCACUGUUACAUAAACAUUAUAACAUUUUGGAUCUCAAAUCAGACAAGACGACCCGCUGAAUUAA